ACGCUCGACACCUACGGUAGGCAGCAGUGGGGAAUAUUGCACAAUGGGGGAAACCCUGAUGCAGCAACGCCGCGUGAGUGAAGAAGUAUUUCGGUAUGUAAAGCUCUAUCAGCAGGGAAGAUAAUGACGGUACCUGACUAAGAAGCUCCGGCUAAAUACGUGCCAGCAGCCGCGGUAAUCUGAGCGGGCUGGCAAGGC
RNAcentral lists this ribosomal RNA (198 nucleotides) under uncultured bacterium. RNAcentral describes it as "partial 16S ribosomal RNA". It matches the Rfam family "Bacterial small subunit ribosomal RNA", at positions 326 to 539 of the family's 1533-position model. The record is from RNAcentral.